RNAcentral lists this long non-coding RNA (5339 nucleotides) under Triticum aestivum (bread wheat). Its description in RNAcentral is "long non-coding RNA (TAES_LNC021444)". The record is from RNAcentral. Lineage: Eukaryota; Viridiplantae; Streptophyta; Magnoliopsida; Poales; Poaceae.
AGACGAGUGUUUUUGGUACUUUAGAUUUUCAUGUGAAAAUAGUUUUCAACAACAUUAAAGAGGUGGAUCAGUUUUCUCGCUGUUCUGAUCGUGCAGAAUGGACACCCAUGGUACCGUACAAUGAUAGCACUACCAUUCUCUAGAAUAUCCUAUCCUGAAAUUCUGCCAUGAUAUUAGGAUUUGGUUGAUAUUAGUGGAACAAUGUGUAUAUGAUAAAGAGUACAAGCAAGCGGCAUUGCUUAAAAAUGUCGCUUCCCCCAUUGUUUCGUGAUGUUUACGGUGUAACUCUUAACUUAUUUAUAUAGGAAACUCUUAACUUGUUCAAUCAGCAAAGGGGAUAUACUAUCACAUUCAUCUUCCUUUCUUCAAAAGACAAUUUUAAAUGCUUCCACCGUAAAUGCUUCCACAUGCUCACCUAAUCUAGCUGCCUUGCACUUUGCGUCAAAGAGAGUUGAGCCAGGUCAUUCUAAAUAUUCAUACCUAUCACUUUCGAUUAACAUACCAUUUCUAGUGAUGAAACCUCUUGAAACCCAACUAGUGGAAUGUGCGCAAUAAUUCAGUUUUUUUACUGGUUUCUUUGUGUGAAGAUAGAAGAGUGUUUUUUGGCACUUCAGAUUUUCAUUUGAAAGUAGUUUUGGACAACAUUAAAGAGGUGGAUCAGUUUGCUGGAUAUGUCAUAUCACCAUGCCAUUUUUGCAUGAAUGAGACACUAGUACCUAACUAUCUUCCAUUUUGUGCAGGUGGAAAUUUGAUGCUCCUCUAGUAAGCGCCGCUUCGCGUCAGCAGAGCAGCGUAGUAAAUACUGAAGAUGGUCACUAGAGCAGCAAAAAUUUUGUGGGCAAUAGAAAUCAGGGCAAAAUCAGACUGCUACGGCUCGUCUGAUUUGUGUGAGUCUCCUCUGAUGCAUCCUUGUACCAAGACAUCUCAACUCUUGAGUAACAUAAGGCAGCUCAGCUUAUUUGUUGGGACCCUACAGAAAGUCACAGACCAUACAUCUGAAUCCAUGUUCUGUAUCAUCCUGUAAAAAUAGAUAAAAAAAGUUUAAUUAUAUGCACCAUUCAUGGCUUCUCUAAUAGUAAGAGUUCUCUUAGGCGCAUUGUUUUCGUGUAAUAUAGGUCAGAGCAGAUGGGCUCGCCAAAUUGGUCUGGGGUUAAGACAUUUGUUUGUGUAAUGGUGUGAAAUCAUAACGAUCCAGCUCUCAGUUUUCUAAUACUGCCUUUGUCCUACAAGGCGAUUUUGCAAGCUAUGUUGCUUGCAAAAACGUCUUAUAUUAUGGAACGGAGGAAUUACGAAGUACAUUUCCCCCCUCUUAAAUAGGAGAUGGGACGGAAGAAGUACUAGCUAAUUUUUUUAAAAUAAUACAAUUUUUAUAUUAAAUUUCAGAAAUAUUACGCCGUAUUUAUAUUUUUUAAAAAUAUUAUCCAGUUAGCCUACUGCUGGCCGAUUGGAUCCAAUCGGCCUACUGCUGGCCGAUAGGCCCCCAGUCAGCCCACUGCCGGCCGAUUGGAUCCAGUCGGCCCACUGUUGGCCGAUUGGCCCCAGUCAGCCCACUGCUGGCCGAUUGUCACCCAGUCUGCUUCCUCUAGGCCGACAGCCGACAGGUGCAUGCACCCAUCUAUUUGUUGAAUAGUUAUUUGAAAAAUGUUGAAGAAGUAUUUGAAAAAAUGUUGAUCAUGCAUAUAAAAAUGUUAAUCAAGCAUUUUUAAAAAAUGUUGCACAAGUAUUUGAAAAUGUUGAACAAAUAUUUGAAAACCGUCGAAUAGGUAUGUGAAUAAUGUUGAAGAAGUAUUUAAAAAAAUGUUGAUCAUGUAUAUAUAAAAAUGUUAAUCAAGCAUUUGCAACAAAUGUUAAACAAGUAUUUGAAAAAAAUAUUGAACAAGUAUUUUAAAAAAUAUUGAUAAUGUAAAUAAAAAUUUUAAUCAUGUAUAUAAAAAUGUUGAACAAGUAUUUGAAAAAAUUUGAACAAGAAUUUAAUUUUUUUGAACAAGUAUUUAAACAAAUAAUAUAGAAAGAAAAAAAAAAGAAUGAAAUAAUGGAGAAGACCGGCUCAGUCAUCUCUAGUUGGUCGCGAUCCCUUUUCUAACCAGCAAUUGGAAACUAAUGGGGUGGUUAGCUGCUCUGGUGAUUGCCAUGGAGACCAGACAUCGAUCCCCAACGCAGCUAAUAACUACCCCACCAGCUUCCAGAUGUUAAACUUUUUUUCAAAUACUUGUUUAACAUUUUUUAAAUACUUGUUCAACAUAUUUUAAAUACUUGUUCAACAUUUUUAUAUACAUGAUCAACAUUUCUACAAAUACUUGUUCAACAUUUUUAUAUACAUGAUUAAUAUUUUUUCAAAUACUUGUUGAACAUUUUUACAAGUACUUGUUCAACAUUUUUAUAUACAUGAUUAAUAUUUUUUCAAAUACUUUUUCAACAUUUUUUAAAAUACUUGUUCAACAUUUUUUGCAAAUGCUUGAUUAACAUUUUUAUAUACAUGAUCAACAUUUUUUAAAAUGCUUCUUUAAUAUUUUUCAAAUACCUAUUCAACAUUUUUGAAAUAUUUGUUCAACAUCUUUAAAAUACUUGUUUAAUAUUUUUUUAGUGCUUGAUUAACAUUUUUAUAUGCAUGAUCAACAUUUUUUUAAAUACUUCUUCAACAUUUUUCAAAUACCUAUUUAUCAGAUAAAUGGGUGCAUGCACCUGUCGGCCUAGAGGAAGCAGACUGGGUGUCAAUCGGCCAGCAGUGGGCCGACUGAGGCCAAUCGGCCAGCAGUGGGCCGACUGGAUCCAAUCAGCCGGCAGUGGGCCGACUGAGGGCCAAUCGGCCAGCAGUAGGCCGACUGGAUCCAAUCGGUCAGUAGUAGGCCGAUUGGGUAAUAUUUUUAAAAAAUAUAAUUACGGCAUAAUAUUUCUGAAAUUUAAUAUAAAAAAUGUAUUAUUAAAAUUUUUUUAGCGAAGUACUAAGUACAUUUUUUCUCUUAAAGAGGAGGCAAAAGAUCUGCCUGAGUGAAAUAGAGAGUAAAAUGCACAGAACCACCACUUUAGCGUCCUAUUUCUCGUAAAACCAUCACUUUACAGAACUGACACUUUACACCGCGCCGAAAUUUUGACAGUGGCAAAAAACACUGAAUGCAAAAAUGAUCCCGUUUUGAUGUGGCAGAUCACUCGUGUGCCGACAGCGGGGGAUGGCGCGCCGCUAACGGCUGUUGAUUCGGCUGUCGGAAGCGGCCGACGCGGCUCGGUCGGACGCGAACCCAAGCGCUCUCUCCCUCUCUCUCUCCCCCCUCCCCAUCCCACCUCUCAAACUCGAGCGGCAUGGCGGCGGCUGGAUCUAUAGAAGGUGGACUCAGAUGCAUCGACGACGAGGGGGAAGAGCAGGAUGAGCAGAUGGGUCCGGAUGGUGGCGUGGGAGGGGGUAGUCGUGGCAGGGGGAGGAUUGCUGCGGCAGCAGCUUGUUUCGUUCAUUUCCGUUCAUCGUCGGCAACUGAGUCGUCAGCGGAUGUCACCCGUGGGGUGGUGGAGGAGCUACCCACUUCAAAGCGCCCCCCCUACUUGAGCUACAUUCAAAUCUGGAGCUCUCCCAUCCCCGAAUAACUAGGGUUUCAGAUUUGUAAUGCUAGCUGUUUGAUACUGUUAGUUCAGUUCAUAUUAAUUUUAGAAUGUUGAUGUCAACUACUUAAUGCUUCUGAAAUAAUUGAAUGUUGCUGCCAUAUGUUUUACUGAAUUCAUUCAACUACUGAAUGUUGUUGCCAUAUGUUUUACUGAAUUCAUUCAACUACAGAAUGUUUUCUGAAAUAAUUAAAUGUUGCUGCCAUAUGUUUUACUGAAUGUAUUGUAGUGUAAUACUGAAUUUUGUAUUGAAUCUGAACUAACUAAAUGUUGCUGCCCCAUUUUUGACUGAAUGCUAUUUAGUACUGAAUUUUUAGAUGAUGAACUAACUGAAUGUAGCUGCCCCAUUUGUCUACAAUUAGGGUUGGAGCUCACAUUUGGAAUGUGAGUUUCCAAUUCUAUGGUAGGGAUAACUUAGACAGGACAAUGGCCAACUCUGAAAUCACAUACAACACCCUGUUGGCCAUUAUGGAUUUGGAAGGCUUUGGGAGUACAGAUUAUAUUUAUUAUGUGAAGCAAGAGGGAAUUGGCAUAGCCAGUUUAGAGUUGCCUGACAGCAAUGCAAUAGUUCAGGAAAUGCUCAGAGAGUUUGACCACAACAGAUCUAUUAAGUUCAUUGUACUUAAAGGAGAUGCCCCAACCCCACUUGAUGCGAAUAGAGCUUCACAAAUAUGUGAGGAGCAGAUCCCCAACGGUAACAUAGGUGAGCCCCAAGGGGUUGUCAACACACAACAGAGCAUUAACCUCCAGAGAUAGGGCAAGUCAAGGUUGCCUUCUGAUGAUUCAGAGAAAGAUGAUGAUGAAAGUGAAGAUGGUCAAGAAGAAAGGGGUUUCAGACUUUCAGUGCUGAUUUUAUUUGGCAACCUGAGUUUGGUUAUGAUCCUAGACCAUUGGGUGUUGAUGAAGAAGAGGUUGAGUUGCUUCAUAGAUUGGAGCAGCUCAAGUUGCAGAGAGAGGAUCCUUGGUACCACUAUGGAGGAGACAUAGAUGUGGAUGAGCUUUACGAGCCUGAGGAAGAGGAAAUGGAUGACGAAGAGCAUGUGCCUUGAUACGUCUCCAUCGUAUCUAUACUUCUUUAUUGUUUCAUGCCAAUAUUAUACAAUGUUUACAUAUUUUUGGCAACAUUUUAUAUGAUUUAUUGGACUAACAUAUUGGUCCAGUGCCCAGUGUUCGUUCCUAUUUUUUGCAUGUUUUUCGCUUCGUAGAAUAUCCAUAUCAAACAAAGUCCAAACACAAUAAAAAUUUACAGAGAAUUAUUUUGUAAUAUUUGUGAUUUUUGGGACGUGAAAUCAAUGCAAACGGGGGCCCACAACUCCCAAGAUACCCCAGGGUGCACCCAGGUGUCUUGUGCCCUCCUCGUACGUCGGUUGAAGAUCUACUUCGGGCGCAAGGAAGCUUAUAUACAGAAAAAACAUGUUAAAAUCUCAACACAAUCGGAGUUACGGAUCUCCGGAUAUUUAAGAAACGAUUUUCGGCCAGAUCUAGGGAACGCGAAAUAGAAGAGAACAGAGAGGGAGAUCCAAUCUCGGAGGGGCUCCCACCCCUCCGCUGCCAUCGAGACCAUGGACCAGAGGAGGAACUCUCCUCCCAUCUAGGGGGGAGGCCAAGGAAGAAGAAGAAGAAGAAGAAGAAGGAGGGGGGCUCUCUCCCGGUGGCGCCGGAACACCGUCGGGGCAAUCAUCGUGUGGCGGCGAUCUACUCCAACAACUCUGUCAUCUUCACCAACAUAUUCAUCACCUUCCCCCAUC